UACAGAGGGGGCAAGCGUUAUUCGGAAUUAUUGGGCGUAAAGGGCGCGUAGGCGGCUAUCCAAGUGGCGGGUGAAAUCCCUCGGCUUAACCGAGGAACUGCCUGCCAGACUGGAUGGCUUGAGACCGGGAGAGGUGAGUGGAAUUCCCAGUGUAGCGGUGAAAUGCGUAGAUAUUGGGAGGAACACCAGUGGCGAAGGCGGCUCACUGGACCGGUACUGACGCUGAGGCGCGAAAGCGUGGGGAGCAAACAGG
Molecule: ribosomal RNA, 253 nt
Filed under: uncultured bacterium
Lineage: Bacteria
Description: partial 16S ribosomal RNA
Rfam family: Bacterial small subunit ribosomal RNA
Source: RNAcentral